GACGAACCGUGCGAACGUUGUUCGGAAUCACUGGGCAUAAAGGGCGCGUAGGCGGCUUAUCAAGUCAGGGGUGAAAUCCGGCAGCUCAACUGUCGAAGUGCCUUUGAUACUGAUGAGCUCGAGGGAGGUAGGGGUAUGCGGAACUUCCGGUGGAGCGGUGAAAUGCGUUGAUAUCGGAAGGAACGCCGGUGGCGAAAGCGGCGUGCUGGACCUCUUCUGACGCUGAGGCGCGAAAGCUAGGGGAGCAAACGGG
RNAcentral lists this ribosomal RNA (253 nucleotides) under uncultured bacterium. RNAcentral describes it as "partial 16S ribosomal RNA". It matches the Rfam family "Bacterial small subunit ribosomal RNA", at positions 524 to 776 of the family's 1533-position model. The record is from RNAcentral.